CCUACGGGGGGCAGCAGUGAGGAAUAUUGGUCAAUGGACGAGAGUCUGAACCAGCCAAGUAGCGUGAAGGAUGACUGCCCUAUGGGUUGUAAACUUCUUUUAUAAAGGAAUAAAACGAGGCACGUGUGCCUUUUUGCAUGUACUUUAUGAAUAAGGAUCGGCUAACUCCGUGCCAGCAGCCGCGGUAAUACGGAGGAUCCGAGCGUUAUCCGGAUUUAUUGGGUUUAAAGGGAGCGUAGAUGGGUUGUUAAGUCAGUUGUGAAAGUUUGCGGCUCAACCGCAAAAUUGCAAUUGAUACUGGCAGUCGUGAGUACAGUUGAGGUAGGCGGAAUUCGUGGUGUAGCGGUGAAAUGCUUAGAUAUCACGAAGAACCCCGAUUGCGAAGGCAGCUUACUAAACUGUGACUGACAUUGAUGCUCGAAAGUGUGGGUAUCAAACAGGAUUAGAUACCCCAGUAGUC
Molecule: ribosomal RNA, 460 nt
Filed under: uncultured bacterium
Lineage: Bacteria
Description: partial 16S ribosomal RNA
Rfam family: Bacterial small subunit ribosomal RNA
Source: RNAcentral